Rhopalosiphum maidis (corn leaf aphid) is the source of this 758-nucleotide RNA transcript. RefSeq lists it as uncharacterized. The record is from RefSeq and is a predicted model, not a curated record. The transcript has 6 exons. NCBI's taxonomy places the organism in Eukaryota, Metazoa, Arthropoda, Insecta, Hemiptera, Aphididae.
UUUUGCAGUUUUACAUUUAUAUUAUGGGUAUAUGAUCUUCAGCUGUAAAUUGUUUUCAAAUUUUUUGUAAUAAGAAUGAAGUUUGUCCGUUAGUUUUUUUCCAUAUCUGAAUUAAUCAGUGUUGGCCGCGUACUAGUUGUCAUAUAUAAAUUUUAGUACUUCUUAUGAUGACAAUACAGCAGUUUACUCAAGGAAUGGAGACGCAUGGAUUCACUUAUCUCACACGUGGGAAAGUAUCAACAUCCUACAUUAAUGGACUGGAGGAGGUCGAGAAUAUUGCAGGUUUAAUGCAGUCUACGUAUAAUAGUUACUCAAAAAGGCAGUACGGCAGAUCACUCAAGUCACGCUGAUACAUGAAUUCACAUUUCUCACGCGUGGGAUAGUAUCAACAGCCUACGUUGCAAAUGGACUAGAAGAUGCUGAGAAUAAUACGUGUUAUAUGCAAUAUGGCAGUACGGCAGUUCACUUAAGGAAUUCUGACGCAUGGAUUCACUUAUCUCACACGUGGGAAAGUAUCAACAUCCUAUGUUGCAAAUGGACUAGAAGAUGCUGAGAAUAAUACGUGUUAUAUGCAAUAUGGCAGUACGGCAGUUCACUUAAGGAAUUCUGACGCAUGGAUUCACUUAUCUCACACGUGGGAAAGUAUCAACAUCCUAUGUUGCAAAUGGACUAGAAGAUGCUGAGAAUAAUACGUGUUAUAUGCAAUAUGGCACUACGGCAGAUCACACAAGGCAUGCUGAGACAUGGAUUCACAUUUC